CACGUAGGGGGCAAGCGUUGUCCGGAUUUAUUGGGCGUAAAGAGCUCGUAGGCGGUUUGGCAAGUCGGGUGUGAAAACUCCGGGCUCAACUCGGAGACGCCACUCGAUACUGCCAUGACUCGGGUCCGGUAGGGGAGUGCGGAAUUCCUGGUGUAGCGGUGAAAUGCGCAGAUAUCAGGAGGAACACCGGUGGCGAAGGCGGCACUCUGGGCCGGUACUGACGCUGAGGAGCGAAAGCGUGGGGAGCGAACAGG
Molecule: ribosomal RNA, 254 nt
Filed under: uncultured bacterium
Lineage: Bacteria
Description: partial 16S ribosomal RNA
Rfam family: Bacterial small subunit ribosomal RNA
Source: RNAcentral